CAGUCGCCGCGGUAAUACGUAGGUGGCGAGCGUUGUCCGGAAUCAUUGGGCGUAAAGGGAGCGCAGGCGGGCAUGUAAGUCUUUCUUAAAAGUGCGGGGCUCAACCCCGUGAUGGGAAAGAAACUACAUGUCUUGAGUACAGGAGAGGAAAGCGGAAUUCCCAGUGUAGCGGUGAAAUGCGUAGAUAUUGGGAGGAACACCAGUGGCGAAGGCGGCUUUCUGGACUGCAACUGACGCUGAGGCUCGAAAGCCAGGGGAGCGAACGGGAUUAGAUACCCGUGUAGUCCCUGUCUCUUAUACA
Molecule: ribosomal RNA, 301 nt
Filed under: uncultured bacterium
Lineage: Bacteria
Description: partial 16S ribosomal RNA
Rfam family: Bacterial small subunit ribosomal RNA
Source: RNAcentral